GAAAAUCGCUAGAAUCACAGUGCCCUGGGAGGACAGUUGAACACUUUUGCAGGUCACACUGUGAGUCGGUGUCAGAGGUGGAGUCAGACCUGGUCUUCUUCCCACAUGGAAGCCUUUUCUCUUACUGUGGUGUCAUUCCAAUGAGAAAUGAAACAGCCUGCAGAGUGAGGUUUGACCACCUCUCCUGGUCUUACAUGAUUUGCAAUGCCACAGGCAAAGCUUCAAUCCUAUCUUUUUCAUGCCCCUACUUUUCUCACUCUCCUUCAAGACUCUCUUGCUCAGUAUGAACAGUGGGAACAACAGUGAAUAAAAACCAACAGCUCCUGACCUCAGGUGAUGACAUGGCUCUGAAUAUCAGCAGAGGAUGAAUUUGAGCCCUCCUUCCUGUGCAGAUCACACGUGGUUAGACUUUGUGGUUAAUGCUCAGUGACAGGGUAAUGACGGUCAUAUUUUCUUAAUGUUCUCUGUUGCUUUCUGAACAGGAUCUGGAAGCAAGUAUCCAGGGAGAGGGAAAUAUGAUACUCCCAUUUCAACGGGAUUUCAGCUGGAGAGCAGCAAACACAGCCGGGCGUCGUGAUGGGCUGAGAUAUCCAAGCCGAGUUUAUCAGAAAUAUCCUCUUGGAGCAGAGAGCAAAGGUGCUGAUAACCAAAUAGGAUGCUGUUCUUGCUGUGUAGGCAUACUAGCCUUGGAAAUGAAUACACUGUGGUAACCUAGGAAAUGAAGACAAAAGAGAAGAAAAUUAAAAUGUCCUGCAGGCUGGGUGAGGUGGCUCACACCUGUAAUCUCAGCACCGUGGGAGUCCAAAGCAGGAUUGCUCAAGACCAGAAGUUCAAGACUAGCCUGGACAACAUAGGAUCUCGUCUCUACAACAACAACUUAGCCAGGUGUGGUGGCAUAUGCCUGUAGUCCUACUGACUUGGGAAGCUGAGGGAGAAGGAUCACUUGAGCCCGGGAGUUUGAGGUUGCAGUGAGCUAUGAUGACUCCACUAAACUCCAGCCUGAGUAACAGAGUGAGACAACAUCUCAAAAUUAAAAUAAAACAAAAACAAAAAACUCCUGUAAUCUUGAGCAUUUAAAGUUGAUAACAUUUUUUAUAGCCCUUCAUCAUAUGUAUGUAUAUAUAUGCCACGUGUAUGUAUGGAGAUAUACACACACAGACACACGCAAGUUGUAUUCAACGGUGAUAGGGUUAAAUUUGCACCAUGAUGAUUCAGAAUCAUCUUUCUUUAAAAUGGUCAGAUAUAAACCAUUAACUGGAAAAUAAGCAAUAUAUAUAGAGGGAAAUUAUAGGUGUAGAGAUCUGUGGCUAUUAGACAUGUGUACACUCUCAAAAAUACGAUAGACAUAACUUAAUACUCUACAGUUUAACACAUUGUAACUUCCUAUAUUCCAUAUUCAUUUCUGAUGCCUGCUAUAUGACAUUGUGUGACUUGACCUGAACACGUCAAAGCUUAUCAUUUAUUAAUGAGGAAACUACUUAGCACCAAUGGUUCUCAAGGUUCAUUGUAUAUUUUUGUAUAUUUAAAUUACCUGGGAAGUUUUCAAAAACACUGAAGCCUGGAGCUCACCUCCAGGGACCCUGAUCAGAGAUGGAGUACAAGAGUAAGUUUUCUAAAAGCACCCCAAUGUGUUUCAAAUGUGCAGCCAGGAUUAUGAAUCACUGAGGAAGAUAUGCCAGUUUGACGUAAUAUGUGUUAGUGUGUCCAGAAUUGGUGGGUUCUUGGUCUCGCUGACUUCAAGAAUGAAGCUGGGGACCCUCGCGGUGAGUGUUACAGUUCUUAAAUAUGUCCGGAGU
This 1796-nucleotide long non-coding RNA is filed under the name Papio anubis (olive baboon). Its description in RNAcentral is "lncRNA (ENSPANG00000040358.1)". Lineage: Eukaryota; Metazoa; Chordata; Mammalia; Primates; Cercopithecidae. The record is from RNAcentral.